This 576-nucleotide ribosomal RNA is filed under the name Rhodanobacter sp. StRD707. Its description in RNAcentral is "bacterial SSU rRNA". It matches the Rfam family "Bacterial small subunit ribosomal RNA", at positions 102 to 673 of the family's 1533-position model. The record is from RNAcentral. Lineage: Bacteria; Pseudomonadati; Pseudomonadota; Gammaproteobacteria; Lysobacterales; Rhodanobacteraceae.
ACGGGUGAGUAAUGCAUCGGGAUCUACCCUGACGUGGGGGAUAACCUCGGGAAACCGGGACUAAUACCGCAUACGUCCUACGGGAGAAAGCGGGGGACCUUUUAGGCCUCGCGCGGCAGGACGAACCGAUGUGCGAUUAGCUAGUUGGCGGGGUAAUGGCCCACCAAGGCGACGAUCGCUAGCUGGUCUGAGAGGAUGAUCAGCCACACUGGGACUGAGACACGGCCCAGACUCCUACGGGAGGCAGCAGUGGGGAAUAUUGGACAAUGGGCGCAAGCCUGAUCCAGCAAUGCCGCGUGUGUGAAGAAGGCCUUCGGGUUGUAAAGCACUUUUAUCAGGAGCGAAAUCUGCAUGCUUAAUACGUGUGCAGUCUGACGGUACCUGAGGAAUAAGCACCGGCUAACUUCGUGCCAGCAGCCGCGGUAAUACGAAGGGUGCAAGCGUUAAUCGGAAUUACUGGGCGUAAAGGGUGCGUAGGCGGUUCGUUAAGUCUGUCGUGAAAUCCCCGGGCUCAACCUGGGAAUGGCGAUGGAUACUGGCGAGCUAGAGUGUGUCAGAGGAUGGUGGAAUUCCCGG